AUUGAACGCUGGCGGCAGGCCUAACACAUGCCAGUCGAGCGGAUGAAGGGAGCUUGCUCCUGGAUUCAGCGGCGGACGGGUGAGUAAUGCCUAGGAAUCUGCCUGGUAGUGGGGGAUAACGUCCGGAAACGGGCGCUAAUACCGCAUACGUCCUGAGGGAGAAAGUGGGGGAUCUUCGGACCUCACGCUAUCAGAGGAGCCUAGGUCGGAUUAGCUAGUUGGUGGGGUAAAGGCCUACCAAGGCGACGAUCCGUAACUGGUCUGAGAGGAUGAUCAGUCAGACUGGAAGUGAGACACGGUCCAGACUCCUACGGGAGGCAGCAGUGGGGAAUAUUGGACAAUGGGCGAAAGCCUGAUCCAGCCAUGCCGCGUGUGUGAAGAAGGUCUUCGGAUUGUAAAGCACUUUAAGUUGGGAGGAAGGGCAGUAAGUUAAUACCUUGCUGUUUUGACGUUACCAACAGAAUAAGCACCGGCUAACUUCGUG
Molecule: ribosomal RNA, 484 nt
Filed under: uncultured bacterium
Lineage: Bacteria
Description: partial 16S ribosomal RNA
Rfam family: Bacterial small subunit ribosomal RNA
Source: RNAcentral